UGAGCAGGUGCAAUGAAAGAUCCUAGA
This 27-nucleotide non-coding RNA is filed under the name Rattus norvegicus (Norway rat). The record is from RNAcentral. Lineage: Eukaryota; Metazoa; Chordata; Mammalia; Rodentia; Muridae.